This 1228-nucleotide ribosomal RNA is filed under the name uncultured crenarchaeote. RNAcentral's name for it is "bacterial SSU rRNA". It matches the Rfam family "Archaeal small subunit ribosomal RNA", at positions 66 to 1286 of the family's 1478-position model. The record is from RNAcentral. Lineage: Archaea; Thermoproteati; Thermoproteota.
CAUGGUGGAGGCGCGGCACACAGCUCAGCAACACGUGGCUAACCUGCCCUUUGGACGGGAACAACCCCGGGAAACUGGGGCUAAUUUCCGAUGGGUGAGGAUUUCUGGAAUGGAACUUCGCUCAAAGGACGUUUAGAGCAUGCUUCUANGCGUUGCCCAAGGAUGGGGCCGCGGCCGAUCAGGUUGUUGGUGAGGUAACGGCUCACCAAGCCUUUAACCGGUACGGGCCGUGGGAGCGGGAGCCCGGAGAUGGGCACUGAGACAAGGGCCCAGGCCCUACGGGGCGCAGCAGUCGCGAAAACUCCGCAAUACGCGAAAGCGUGACGGGGCCAUCCCGAGUGCUGUCCGCUGAGGACGGCUUUUACCCAGUGUAGAUAGCUGGGGGAAUAAGGUGAGGGCAAGUCUGGUGUCAGCCGCCGCGGUAAUACCAGCUCUCCGAGUGGUGGGGAUGUUUAUUGGGCCUAAAGCAUCCGUAGCUGGCUGGGCAAGUCCUCCGUUAAUCCAGCGAUUUAAUCGUUGGCCUGCGGGGGAUACUGUUCGGCUUGGAGGCGAGAGAGGCCGACGGUAUUUUCGGGGUAGGGGUGAAAUCCUAUAAUCCCGAGAAGACCACCAGUGGCGAAGGCUGUCGGCUAGAACGCGCUCGACGGUGAGGGAUGAAAGCUAGGGGAGCGAACCGGAUUAGAUACCCGGGUAGUCCUAGCCGUAAACGAUGCAGGCUAGGUGUUAGGGCGGCUACGCGCCGCUCUAGUGCCGCAGGGAAACUGUUUAGCCUGCCGCCUGGGGAGUACGGCUGCAAGGCUGAAACUUAAAGGAAUUGGCGGGGGAGCACCACAAGGGGUGAAGCUUGCGGUUUAAUUGGAGUCAACGCCGGAAAUCUCACCGGGGGCGACAGCAGGGUGAAAGCCAGAUUAAAGGUCUUGCCAGACGAGCUGAGAGGAGGUGCAUGGCCGUCGCCAGUUCGUGCCGUGAGGUGUCCUGUUAAGUCAGGCAACGAUCGAGACCCGCAUCCUCCGUUGCUAUUGGUCUUGAACCAAGCACACUGGGGAGACUGCCGCCGACAAGGCGGAGGAAGGAGCGGGCCACGGCAGGUCAGUAUGCCCCGAAUCUCCCGGGCCACACGCGAGCUGCAAUGGCAGGUACAAUGGGAUCCGACCUCGUAAGGGGAAGGAAAUCUUUAAAGCCUGCCGUAGUUGGGAUCGAGGGUUGAACUCACCCUCGUGAACAUGGA